AAAUAACAAUGGAUUUCCCUAGUAACGGCGAGUGAACAGGAAAGAGCUCAAAGUUGGAACCUGUUUGGUUUAGCCAAACCGGAUUGUAAACUGUAGAAGUGUUUUCCUGGCACGCCUGACGAAAAAGUCCAUUGGAACAUGGUGACAUAGAGGGUGAGAGCCCCGUAUUUUGUCAGAGCUGUUGUCUCUUGUGAUACACUUUCAAAGAGUCAGGUUGUUUGGGAAUGCAGCCUAAAUUGGGUGGUAAAUCUCACCUAAAGCUAAAUAUUGGCAAAAGACCGAUAGCGAACAAGUACCGUGAGGGAAAGAUGAAAAGAACUUUGAAAAGAGAGUUAAACAGUAUGUGAAAUUGUUAAAAGGGAACCGUUUGGAGCCAGACUGGCUUGAUUGUAAUCAAUCUAGAUUUCGAUCUGGAUGCACUUGCAGUCUAUGCCUGCCAACGACAAUUCAUUCUGGAGGAAAAAACUAAGUGGAAUGUGGCCCCUCGGGGUGUUAUAGACUCUUAGAAAAUACUCUGGUUUGGAUUGAGGAACGCAGUGAAUGCUAUUUGGCGAAGAUGCUGGGUGCUUUUAUUUUUGUUGUCUAGAAUUUCUGCUUCGGGUGGUGCUAGAUACCACGAGUAAAACUCGCCUAGUAUACUUUUUAUUCACUUAGGUUGUUGGCUUAAUGACUCUAAAUGACCCGUCUUGAAACACGGACCAAGGAGUCCACCAUAUAUGCGAGUAUUUGGGUGCCAAACCCAUAUGCGUAAGGAAACUGAUUGAUACGAAAUCGCAAGAUGGCAGUAUCACCCGGCGUUGACGUUUUAACUGAAGUGACUGAGGUAAAGCAUAUAUGAUGGGACCCGAAAGAUGGUGAACUAUGCCUGAAUAGGGUGAAGCCGGAGGAAAC
RNAcentral lists this ribosomal RNA (891 nucleotides) under Choanephora infundibulifera. RNAcentral describes it as "partial large subunit ribosomal RNA". It matches the Rfam family "Eukaryotic large subunit ribosomal RNA", at positions 63 to 862 of the family's 3401-position model. The record is from RNAcentral. Lineage: Eukaryota; Fungi; Mucoromycota; Mucoromycetes; Mucorales; Choanephoraceae.